UGUAGUCAUAUGCUUGUCUCAAAGAUUAAGCCAUGCAUGUCUAAGUAUAAGCAAUCUAUACUGUGAAACUGCGAAUGGCUCAUUAAAUCAGUUAUCGUUUAUUUGAUAGUACCUUACUACUUGGAUAACCGUGGUAAUUCUAGAGCUAAUACAUGCUAAAAACCUCGACUUCGGAAGGGGUGUAUUUAUUGGAUAAAAAACCAAUGCCCUUCGGGGCUCUUUGGUGAUUCAUAAUAACUUAACGAAUCGCAUGGCCUUGUGCCGGCGAUGGUUCAUUCAAAUUUCUGCCCUAUCAACUUUCGAUGGUAGGAUAGUGGCCUACCAUGGUUUCAACGGGUAACGGGGAAUUAGGGUUCUAUUCCGGAGAGGGAGCCUGAGACACGGCUACCACAUCCAAGGAAGGCAGCAGGCGCGCAAAUUACCCAAUCCCGACACGGGGAGGUAGUGACAAUAAAUACUGAUACAGGACUCUUUUGGGUCUUGUAAUUGGAAUGAGUACAAUUUAAAUCCCUUAACGAGGAACAAUUGGAGGGCAAGUCUGGUAAUCG
This 548-nucleotide ribosomal RNA is filed under the name uncultured eukaryote. RNAcentral describes it as "SSU rRNA". It matches the Rfam family "Eukaryotic small subunit ribosomal RNA", at positions 21 to 570 of the family's 1831-position model. The record is from RNAcentral.